Molecule: ribosomal RNA, 280 nt
Filed under: uncultured bacterium
Lineage: Bacteria
Description: partial 16S ribosomal RNA
Rfam family: Bacterial small subunit ribosomal RNA
Source: RNAcentral
CAAAUCCUACGGGAGGCAGCAGUGGGGAAUAUUGCGCAAUGGGGGCAACCCUGACGCAGCAACGCCGCGUGAUUGAAGACGGCCUUCGGGUUGUAAAGAUCUUUAAUCGGGGACGAAUUUUGACGGUACCCGAGGAAUAAGCUCCGGCUAACUACGUGCCAGCAGCCGCGGUAAUACGUAGGGAGCAAGCGUUAUCCGGAUUUACUGGGUGUAAAGGGCGUGUAGGCGGGCAUGCAAGCCAGAAGUGAAAUCUGGGGGCUUAACCUGCGAACUGCAUUUG